AUUGAACGCUGGCGGCAGGCCUAACACAUGCAAGUCGAGCGGCAGCGGAAAGUAGCUUGCUACUUUGCCGGCGAGCGGCGGACGGGUGAGUAAUGUCUGGGAAACUGCCUGAUGGAGGGGGAUAACUACUGGAAACGGUAGCUAAUACCGCAUAACGUCGCAAGACCAAAGAGGGGGACCUUCGGGCCUCUUGCCAUCAGAUGUGCCCAGAUGGGAUUAGCGAGUAGGUGGGGUAACGGCUCACCUAGGCGACGAUCCCUAGCUGGUCUGAGAGGAUGACCAGCCACACUGGAACUGAGACACGGUCCAGACUCCUACGGGAGGCAGCAGUGGGGAAUAUUGCACAAUGGGCGCAAGCCUGAUGCAGCCAUGCCGCGUGUAUGAAGAAGGCCUUCGGGUUGUAAAGUACUUUCAGCGGGGAGGAAGGUGUUGAGGUUAAUAACCUCAGCAAUUGACGUUACCCGCAGAAGAAGCACCGGCUAACUCCGUGCCAGCCGCCGCCGUAA
This 506-nucleotide ribosomal RNA is filed under the name uncultured bacterium. Its description in RNAcentral is "partial 16S ribosomal RNA". It matches the Rfam family "Bacterial small subunit ribosomal RNA", at positions 30 to 523 of the family's 1533-position model. The record is from RNAcentral.